RNAcentral lists this ribosomal RNA (492 nucleotides) under uncultured bacterium. RNAcentral's name for it is "partial 16S ribosomal RNA". It matches the Rfam family "Bacterial small subunit ribosomal RNA", at positions 29 to 507 of the family's 1533-position model. The record is from RNAcentral.
AGUGAACGCUGGCGGUAGGCCUAACACAUGCAAGUCGAACGGCAGCACAGUAAGAGCUUGCUCUUACGGGUGGCGAGUGGCGGACGGGUGAGGAAUACAUCGGGAUCUACUUUUUCGUGGGGGAUAACGUAGGGAAACUUACGCUAAUACCGCAUACGACCUACGGGUGAAAGCAGGGGAUCUUCGGACCUUGCUCGAUUGAAUGAGCCGAUGUCGGAUUAGCUAGUUGGCGGGGUAAAGGCCCACCAAGGCGACGAUCCGUAGCUGGUCUGAGAGGAUGAUCAGCCACACUGGAACUGAGACACGGUCCAGACUCCUACGGGAGGCAGCAGUGGGGAAUAUUGGACAAUGGGCGCAAGCCUGAUCCAGCCAUACCGCGUGGGUGAAGAAGGCCUUCGGGUUGUAAAGCCCUUUUGUUGGGAAAGAAAAGCAGCAGGUUAAUACCCCGCUGUUCUGACGGUACCCAAAGAAUAAGCACCGGCUAACUUCGUG